GAAAGCCGGAUGCGGGAAAUCCGCACGUCCGGUUUGAUGAGCGGGGAAAGGAAACGGAGCGAGCCUCGCAAGGGCCAGCCACCGCGCCUUUCCUCGACUCUAC
This is a non-coding RNA of Rhizobium freirei PRF 81, 103 nucleotides long. NCBI's taxonomy places the organism in Bacteria, Pseudomonadati, Pseudomonadota, Alphaproteobacteria, Hyphomicrobiales, Rhizobiaceae. The record is from Rfam.